Octopus sinensis (East Asian common octopus) is the source of this 136-nucleotide long non-coding RNA. RefSeq lists it as uncharacterized. Lineage: Eukaryota; Metazoa; Mollusca; Cephalopoda; Octopoda; Octopodidae. The record is from RefSeq and is a predicted model, not a curated record. The transcript has 3 exons.
UUGCUUUGCAGGAAGGAUUGUAUCAACGAUGUCGCGUCUUGCCCUUGCCUUCGAAUCCGCGAAGUAGAUGAAACAGGAACAACUGAAGAGGGGGAAUAUUCUUUUUGUUGCAUGUCUCGGUUCUCUGUUUUUUAGU